This 217-nucleotide long non-coding RNA is filed under the name Musa acuminata (dwarf banana). RNAcentral's name for it is "long non-coding RNA (MACU_LNC006937)". The record is from RNAcentral. Lineage: Eukaryota; Viridiplantae; Streptophyta; Magnoliopsida; Zingiberales; Musaceae.
AUUCUUAGAUUUGAAACUACCCUUAAUUUAUUUUCCUAAUUGAUAAGCAUCACACACAUUAUCUUUGAUGAACUUGAUAUGAGGAAUUCCUCUUACAAGUUCUUUGGAUGAUAUUUGAGUGAUUAGUUUCAUGCUAGCAUGACCUAAUCUCCUAUGCCAAAGCCAAGCAUCCUCAUUCAAAACCGAGAAACACAUUUCAUUGCAAAGAUCAUUGAUG